UUUCCGUAGGUGAACCUGCGGAAGGAUCAUUAUUGUAUAACCGCCGUGCGAGGGCUGUCGCUGACCCGAAAGGUCGUGCACGCCCGAGUUCCCUCACACACAUCCAUCUCACCCCUACGUGCACCACCGCGUGGGUCGCCCUUUGGCUUGUUCGGAGGGGGGCUUACGUUUUCACACAAACUUUGUAUGCAGUGUAGAAUGUAUUUUUUGUUUUUGUGAUCACGCAAUAAAUACAACUUUCAACAACGGAUCUCUUGGCUCUC
RNAcentral lists this unclassified non-coding RNA (263 nucleotides) under plant metagenome. RNAcentral describes it as "partial contains small subunit ribosomal RNA, internal transcribed spacer 1, and 5.8S ribosomal RNA". The record is from RNAcentral.